Molecule: ribosomal RNA, 305 nt
Filed under: uncultured bacterium
Lineage: Bacteria
Description: bacterial SSU rRNA
Rfam family: Bacterial small subunit ribosomal RNA
Source: RNAcentral
GAGUACCUACGGGAGGCAGCAGUGAGGAAUAUUGGUCAAUGGGCGAGAGCCUGAACCAGCCAAGUCGCGUGAGGGAGUACUGCCCUAUGGGUUGUAAACCUCUUUUGUCGGGGAGCAAAAGCCGGACGUGUCCGGCUGUGAGAGUACCCGAAGAAAAAGCAUCGGCUAACACCGUGCCAGCAGCCGCGGUAAUACGGAGGAUGCGAGCGUUAUCCGGAUUUAUUGGGUUUAAAGGGUGCGCAGGCGGAUUUUUAAGUCAGCGGUCAAAUCGUGGGGCUCAACCCCGUCCAGCCGUUGAAACUGGG